GGGGAAUCUUGCGCAAUGGGGGAAACCCUGACGCAGUGACGCCGUGUGAACGAUGAAGUCCUUCGGGAUGUAAAGUUCUGUCAGGCGGGAAGAACCUCCCCCCGAUGCAAAUCGGGGGGAAAUGACGGUACCGCCAGAGGAAGCACUGGCUAAUUCCGUGCCAGCAGCCGCGGUAACACGGAGAGUGCAAGCGUUGUUCGGAAUUACUAGGCGUAAAGCGCGUGUAGGUGGUUAGUUAAGUCGGAUGUGAAAAUUCCAAGCUUAACUUGGAACCGGCAUUCGAAACUGGUUAACUUGAGUGUAGGAGAGGAGAGCGGAAUUCCUAGUGUAGCGGUGAAAUGCGUAGAUAUUAGGAAGAACACCGGUGGCGAAGGCGGCUCUCUGGCCUAAAACUGACACUGAGACGCGAAAGCGUGGGUAGCAAACAG
Molecule: ribosomal RNA, 428 nt
Filed under: uncultured bacterium
Lineage: Bacteria
Description: bacterial SSU rRNA
Rfam family: Bacterial small subunit ribosomal RNA
Source: RNAcentral